RNAcentral lists this long non-coding RNA (207 nucleotides) under Notechis scutatus (mainland tiger snake). RNAcentral describes it as "lncRNA (ENSNSUG00000012977.1)". Lineage: Eukaryota; Metazoa; Chordata; Lepidosauria; Squamata; Elapidae. The record is from RNAcentral.
AAUGAAGUAAUAGGAAGAUUGUCUGUCCUGGUUGGCCAGGAACGGAGAAGCCGGUCACAGAGUGUUCCUGAAAGGUGGAGAAUGAACUGAAAAUAACUUGCAAGGGACAGCCCAAAACAUAGGUGAGUGGAUUUUCCUGCCCACACAGAUAAGCCACAACUUAUGAGCAAAGUUGAGUCCAAAAUUUCUGUUGCUAAGUGAGACCGA